GUCGAGAUGGCCGAGUGGUUAAGGCGCUGUGUUUAGGAGUACGUUACACUCUGACCAUUUGUAUCCAUUUGGUCGCUGGUGACGUCACGAUCCCUUCCCGCAGUCAGAAAUGGCGAGGGUUCGAACCCCUCUCUCGACA
Molecule: non-coding RNA, 139 nt
Organism: Plectosphaerella plurivora
Lineage: Eukaryota; Fungi; Ascomycota; Sordariomycetes; Glomerellales; Plectosphaerellaceae
Source: the annotation of a GenBank genome assembly